CAACUGAAGAGUUUGAUCAUGGCUCAGAUUGAACGCUGGCGGCAGGCUUAACACAUGCAAGUCGAGCGGAAACGAUCCUAGCUUGCUAGGAGGCGUCGAGCGGCGGACGGGUGAGUAAUGCAUGGGAAUCUGCCCGAUAGUGGGGGACAACCUGGGGAAACUCAGGCUAAUACCGCAUACGUCCUACGGGAGAAAGCAGGGGAUCUUCGGACCUUGCGCUAUCGGAUGAGCCCAUGUCGGAUUAGCUUGUUGGUGAGGUAAUGGCUCACCAAGGCGACGAUCCGUAGCUGGUCUGAGAGGAUGAUCAGCCACACUGGGACUGAGACACGGCCCAGACUCCUACGGGAGGCAGCAGUGGGGAAUAUUGGACAAUGGGCGAAAGCCUGAUCCAGCCAUGCCGCGUGUGUGAAGAAGGCCUUCGGGUUGUAAAGCACUUUCAGCGAGG
RNAcentral lists this ribosomal RNA (445 nucleotides) under Cobetia sp. Its description in RNAcentral is "bacterial SSU rRNA". It matches the Rfam family "Bacterial small subunit ribosomal RNA", at positions 1 to 444 of the family's 1533-position model. Lineage: Bacteria; Pseudomonadati; Pseudomonadota; Gammaproteobacteria; Oceanospirillales; Halomonadaceae. The record is from RNAcentral.